Molecule: ribosomal RNA, 426 nt
Filed under: Salmonella enterica subsp. enterica serovar Oranienburg
Lineage: Bacteria; Pseudomonadati; Pseudomonadota; Gammaproteobacteria; Enterobacterales; Enterobacteriaceae
Also listed under: 1 other name
Description: partial 23S ribosomal RNA
Rfam family: Bacterial large subunit ribosomal RNA
Source: RNAcentral
GGGUUGUGAGGUUAAGCGACUAAGCGUACACGGUGGAUGCCCUGGCAGUCAGAGGCGAUGAAGGACGUGCUAAUCUGCGAUAAGCGCCGGUAAGGUGAUAUGAACCGUUAUAACCGGCGAUUUCCGAAUGGGGAAACCCAGUGUGACUCGUCACACUAUCAUUAACUGAAUCCAUAGGUUAAUGAGGCGAACCGGGGGAACUGAAACAUCUAAGUACCCCGAGGAAAAGAAAUCAACCGAGAUUCCCCCAGUAGCGGCGAGCGAACGGGGAGGAGCCCAGAGCCUGAAUCAGCAUGUGUGUUAGUGGAAGCGUCUGGAAAGGCGCGCGAUACAGGGUGACAGCCCCGUACACAAAAGCGCAUGUGCUGUGAGCUCGAUGAGUAGGGCGGGACACGUGGUAUCCUGUCUGAAUAUGGGGGGACCAUC